ACGCACGCUGGCGGCGUGCUUCACCCAUGCAAGUCGCACGGAAAGGCCCUGCUUUUGUGGGGUGCUCGAGUGGCGAACGGGUGAGUAACACGUGAGUAACCUGCCCUUGAUUUUGGGAUAACUUCAGGAAACUGGGGCUAAUACCGGAUAGGAGCUCCUGCUGCAUGGUGGGGGUUGGAAAGUUUCGGCGGUUGGGGAUGGACUCGCGGCUUAUCAGCUUGUUGGUGGGGUAGUGGCUUACCAAGGCUUUGACGGGUAGCCGGCCUGAGAGGGUGACCGGCCACAUUGGGACUGAGAUACGGCCCAGACUCCUACGGGAGGCAGCAGUGGGGAAUAUUGCACAAUGGGCGGAAGCCUGAUGCAGCAACGCCGCGUGCGGGAUGACGGCCUUCGGGUUGUAAACCGCUUUCGCCUGUGACGAAGCGUGAGUGACGGUAAUGGGUAAAGAAGCACCGGCUAACUACGUG
RNAcentral lists this ribosomal RNA (467 nucleotides) under uncultured bacterium. Its description in RNAcentral is "partial 16S ribosomal RNA". It matches the Rfam family "Bacterial small subunit ribosomal RNA", at positions 29 to 507 of the family's 1533-position model. The record is from RNAcentral.